Molecule: ribosomal RNA, 440 nt
Filed under: uncultured bacterium
Lineage: Bacteria
Description: partial 16S ribosomal RNA
Rfam family: Bacterial small subunit ribosomal RNA
Source: RNAcentral
CCUACGGGAGGCAGCAGUGGGGGAUAUUGCACAAUGGGGGAAACCCUGAUGCAGCGACGCCGCGUGUGGGAAGACGGUCCUCUGGAUUGUAAACCACUGUCCCCAGGGACGAAGAUGACGGUACCUGGGGAGGAAGCUCCGGCUAACUACGUGCCAGCAGCCGCGGUAAUACGUAGGGAGCGAGCGUUGUCCGGACUUACUGGGGGAAAAGGGAGCGUAGGCGGGACUGCAAGUUGGGUGUAAAAUCUACCGGCUCAACCGGUAGCCGCACUCAAAACUGCAGUUCUUGAGUGAAGUAGAGGCAGGCGGAAUUCCUAGUGUAGCGGUGAAAUGCGUAGAUAUUAGGAGGAACACCAGUGGCGAAGGCGGCCUGCUGGGCGUUUACUGACGCUGAGGCUCGAAAGUGUGGGGAGCAAACAGGAUUAGAUACCCGUGUAGUC